RNAcentral lists this ribosomal RNA (433 nucleotides) under uncultured bacterium. Its description in RNAcentral is "partial 16S ribosomal RNA". It matches the Rfam family "Bacterial small subunit ribosomal RNA", at positions 29 to 507 of the family's 1533-position model. The record is from RNAcentral.
AACGAACGCUGGCGGCAUGCCUAACACAUGCAAGUCGAACGAGACCUUCGGGUCUAGUGGCGCACGGGUGCGUAACGCGUGGGAACCUGCCCUUAGGUUCGGAAUAACUCCCCGAAAGGGGUGCUAAUACCGGAUAAUGUCUUCGGACCAAAGAUUUAUCGCCUUUGGAUGGGCCCGCGUUGGAUUAGCUUGUUGUUAGGGUAAAAGCCUACCAAGGCGACGAUCCAUAGCUGGUCUGAGAGGAUGAUCAGCCACACUGGGACUGAGACACGGCCCAGACUCCUACGGGAGGCAGCAGUGGGGAAUAUUGGACAAUGGGCGAAAGCCUGAUCCAGCAAUGCCGCGUGAGUGAUGAAGGCCUUAGGGUUGUAAAGCUCUUUUACCCGGGAUGAUAAUGACAGUACCGGGAGAAUAAGCUCCGGCUAACUCCGUG